Molecule: long non-coding RNA, 4750 nt
Filed under: Setaria viridis
Lineage: Eukaryota; Viridiplantae; Streptophyta; Magnoliopsida; Poales; Poaceae
Description: long non-coding RNA (SVIR_LNC001789)
Source: RNAcentral
CUAAUUAGACCCUAGAACAUGUUUGGGAGUGUUUUUGAGCAUUCGGUUCCGGCACGAAAAACGAUGCAAAACGGGUGCAUUUCGGCACCCGAAUGCACUAUUGCCGGGUAGCGAAACUCGGGUGGAUUUUUUCGCAACGAACGCAUGCAAUCUACCUAAUUAGACCCUAGAACAUGUUUGGGAGUGUUUUUGGGCAUUCGGUUCCGGCACGAAAAAUGAUGCAAAACGGGUGCAUUUCGGCACCCGAAUGCACUAUUGCCGGGUAGCGAAACUCGGGUGGAUUUUUUCACAACGAACGCAUGCAAUCUUCCUAAAUAUACCCUAGAACAUGUUUGGGAGUGUUUUUGGGCAUUCGGUUCCGGCACGAAAAAUGAUGCAAAACGGGUGCAUUUCGGCACCCGAAUGCACUAUUGCCGGGUAGCGAAACUCGGGUGGAUUUUUUCGCAACGAACGCAUGCAAUCUUCCUAAAUAUACACUAGAACAUGUUUGGGAGUAUUUUUGGGCAUUCGGUUCCGGCACGAAAAAUGAUGCAAAACGGGUGCAUUUCGGCACUCGAAUGCACUAUUGCCGGGUAGCGAAACUCGGGUGGAUUUUUUUCGCAACGAACGCAUCCAAUCUACCUAAUUAGACCCUAGAACAUGUUUGGGAGUGUUUUUGGGCAUUCGGUUUCGGCACGAAAAACGAUGCAAAACGGGUGCAUUUCGGCACCCGAAUGCACUAUUGCCGGGUAGCGAAACUCGGGUGGAUUUUUUCGCAACGAACGCAUGCAAUUUUCCGAAAUAUACACUAGAACAUGUUUGGGAGUGUUUUUGGGCAUUCGGUUCCGGCACGAAAAAUGAUGCAAAACGGGUGCAUUUCAGCACCCGAAUGCACUAUUGCCGGGUAGCGAAACUCGGGUGGAUUUUUUCGCAACGAACGCAUGCAAUCUUCCUAACUAUACACUAGAACAUGUUUGGGAGUGUUUUUGAGCAUUCGGUUCCGGCACGAAAAACGAUGCAAAACGGGUGCAUUUCGGCACCCGAAUGCACUAUUUCCGGGUAGCGAAACUCGGGUGGAUUUUUUCGCAACGAACGCAUGCAAUCUUCCUAACUAUACACUAGAACAUGUUUGGGACUGUUUUUGAGCAUUCGGUUCCGGCACGAAAAACGAUGCAAAACGGGUGCAUUUCGGCACCCGAAAGCACUAUUUCCGGGUAGCGAAACUCGGGUGGAUUUUUUCGCAACGAACGCAUGCAAUCUUCCUAACUAUACACUAAAACAUGUUUGGGACUGUUUUUGAGCAUUCGGUUCCGGCACGAAAAACGAUGCAAAACGGGUGCAUUUCGGCACGCGAAUGCACUAUUUCCGGGUAGCGAAACUCGGGUGGAUUUUUUCGCAACGAACGCAUGCAAUCUUCCUAACUAUACACUAGAACAUGUUUGGGAGUGUUUUUGAGCAUUCGGUUCCGGCACGAAAAACGAUGCAAAACGGGUGCAUUUCGGCACCCGAAUGCACUAUUUCCGGGUAGCGAAACUCGGGUGGAUUUUUUCGCAACGAACGCAUGCAAUCUUCCUAACUAUACACUAGAACAUGUUUGGGACUGUUUUUGAGCAUUCGGUUCCGGCACGAAAAACGAUGCAAAACGGGUGCAUUUCGGCACAAGAAAGCACUAUUUCCGGGUAGCGAAACUCGGGUGGAUUUUUUCGCAACGAACGCAUGCAUUCUUCCUAAAUAUACACUAGAACAUGUUUGGGAGUGUUUUUGGGCAUUCUGUUCCGGCACGAAAAAUGAUGCAAAACGGGUGCAUUUCGGCACCCGAAUGCACUAUUGCCGGGUAGCGAAACUCGGGUGGAUUUUUUCACAACGAAUGCAUGCAAUCUUUACUAAAUAUACCCUAGAACAUGUUUGGGAGUGUUUUUGGGCAUUCGGUUCCGGCACGAAAAAUGAUGCAAAACGGGUGCAUUUCGGCACCCGAAUACACUAUUGCCGGGUAGCGAAACUCGGGUGGAUUUUUUCGCAACGAACGCAUGCAAUCUUUCGAAAUAUACACUAGAACAUGUUUGGGAGUAUUUUUGGGCAUUCGGUUCCGGCACGAAAAAUGAUGCAAAACGGGUGCAUUUCGGCACCCGAAUGCACUAUUGCCGGGUAGCGAAACUCGGGUGGAUUUUUUUCGCAACGAACGCAUCCAAUCUACCUAAUUAGACCCUAGAACAUGUUUGGGAGUGUUUUUGGGCAUUCGGUUCCGGCACGAAAAACGAUGCAAAACGGGUGCAUUUCGGCACCCGAAUGCACUAUUGCCGGGUAGCGAAACUCGGGUGGAUUUUUUCGCAACGAACGCAUGCAAUUUUCCGAAAUAUACACUAGAACAUGUUUGGGAGUGUUUUUGGGCAUUCGGUUCCGGCACGAAAAAUGAUGCAAAACGGGUGCAUUUCAGCACCCGAAUGCACUAUUGCCGGGUAGCGAAACUCGGGUGGAUUUUUUCGCAACGAACGCAUGCAAUCUUCCUAACUAUACACUAGAACAUGUUUGGGAGUGUUUUUGAGCAUUCGGUUCCGGCACGAAAAACGAUGCAAAACGGGUGCAUUUCGGCACCCGAAUGCACUAUUUCCGGGUAGCGAAACUCGGGUGGAUUUUUUCGCAACGAACGCAUGCAAUCUUCCUAACUAUACACUAGAACAUGUUUGGGACUGUUUUUGAGCAUUCGGUUCCGGCACGAAAAACGAUGCAAAACGGGUGCAUUUCGGCACCCGAAAGCACUAUUUCCGGGUAGCGAAACUCGGGUGGAUUUUUUCGCAACGAACGCAUGCAAUCUUCCUAACUAUACACUAAAACAUGUUUGGGACUGUUUUUGAGCAUUCGGUUCCGGCACGAAAAACGAUGCAAAACGGGUGCAUUUCGGCACGCGAAUGCACUAUUUCCGGGUAGCGAAACUCGGGUGGAUUUUUUCGCAACGAACGCAUGCAAUCUUCCUAACUAUACACUAGAACAUGUUUGGGAGUGUUUUUGAGCAUUCGGUUCCGGCACGAAAAACGAUGCAAAACGGGUGCAUUUCGGCACCCGAAUGCACUAUUUCCGGGUAGCGAAACUCGGGUGGAUUUUUUCGCAACGAACGCAUGCAAUCUUCCUAACUAUACACUAGAACAUGUUUGGGACUGUUUUUGAGCAUUCGGUUCCGGCACGAAAAACGAUGCAAAACGGGUGCAUUUCGGCACAAGAAAGCACUAUUUCCGGGUAGCGAAACUCGGGUGGAUUUUUUCGCAACGAACGCAUGCAUUCUUCCUAAAUAUACACUAGAACAUGUUUGGGAGUGUUUUUGGGCAUUCUGUUCCGGCACGAAAAAUGAUGCAAAACGGGUGCAUUUCGGCACCCGAAUGCACUAUUGCCGGGUAGCGAAACUCGGGUGGAUUUUUUCACAACGAAUGCAUGCAAUCUUUACUAAAUAUACCCUAGAACAUGUUUGGGAGUGUUUUUGGGCAUUCGGUUCCGGCACGAAAAAUGAUGCAAAACGGGUGCAUUUCGGCACCCGAAUACACUAUUGCCGGGUAGCGAAACUCGGGUGGAUUUUUUCGCAACGAACGCAUGCAAUCUUUCGAAAUAUACACUAGAACAUGUUUGGGAGUAUUUUUGGGCAUUCGGUUCCGGCACGAAAAAUGAUGCAAAACGGGUGCAUUUCGGCACCCGAAUGCACUAUUGCCGGGUAGCGAAACUCGGGUGGAUUUUUUUCGCAACGAACGCAUCCAAUCUACCUAAUUAGACCCUAGAACAUGUUUGGGAGUGUUUUUGGGCAUUCGGUUCCGGCACGAAAAACGAUGCAAAACGGGUGCAUUUCGGCACCCGAAUGCACUAUUGCCGGGUAGCGAAACUCGGGUGGAUUUUUUCGCAACGAACGCAUGCAAUUUUCCGAAAUAUACACUAGAACAUGUUUGGGAGUGUUUUUGGGCAUUCGGUUCCGGCACGAAAAAUGAUGCAAAACGGGUGCAUUUCAGCACCCGAAUGCACUAUUGCCGGGUAGCGAAACUCGGGUGGAUUUUUUCGCAACGAACGCAUGCAAUCUUCCUAACUAUACACUAGAACAUGUUUGGGAGUGUUUUUGGGCAUUCGGUUCCGGCACGAAAAAUGAUGCAAAACGGGUGCAUUUCAGCACCCGAAUGCACUAUUGCCGGGUAGCGAAACUCGGGUGGAUUUUUUCGCAACGAACGCAUGCAAUCUUCCUAACUAUACACUAGAACAUGUUUGGGAGUGUUUUUGAGCAUUCGGUUCCGGCACGAAAAACGAUGCAAAACGGGUGCAUUUCGGCACCCGAAUGCACUAUUUCCGGGUAGCGAAACUCGGGUGGAUUUUUUCGCAACGAACGCAUGCAAUCUUCCUAACUAUACACUAGAACAUGUUUGGGACUGUUUUUGAGCAUUCGGUUCCGGCACGAAAAACGAUGCAAAACGGGUGCAUUUCGGCACCCGAAAGCACUAUUUCCGGGUAGCGAAACUCGGGUGGAUUUUUUCGCAACGAACGCAUGCAAUCUUCCUAACUAUACACUAAAACAUGUUUGGGACUGUUUUUGAGCAUUCGGUUCCGGCACGAAAAACGAUGCAAAACGGGUGCAUUUCGGCACGCGAAUGCACUAUUUCCGGGUAGCGAAACUCGGGUGGAUUUUUUCGCAACGAACGCAUGCAAUCUUCCUAACUAUACACUAGAACAUGUUUGGGAGUGUUUUUGAGCAUUCGGUUCCGGCACGAAAAACGAUGCAAAACGGGUGCAUUUCGGCACCCGAAUG